CCUACGGGAGGCAGCAGUGGGGAAUAUUGGACAAUGGGGGGAACCCUGAUCCAGCCAUGCCGCGUGUGUGAAGAAGGCCCUCGGGUUGGAAAGCACUUUCAGUGAGGAAGAACGCCUGGUGGUGAAUACCCAUCAGGAAAGACAUCACUCACAGAAGAAGCACCGGCUACACUCCGUGCCAGCAGCCGCGGUAAUACGGAGGGUGCGAGCGUUAAUCGGAAUUACUGGGCGUAAAGCGCGCGUAGGUGGCUUGAUAAGCCGGUUGUGAAAGCCCCGGGCGCAACCUGGGAACGGCAUCCGGAACUGUCAAGCUAGAGUGCAGGAGAGGAAGGUAGAAUUCCCGGUGUAGCGGUGAAAUGCGUAGAGAUCGGGAGGAAUACCAGUGGCGAAGGCGGCCUUCUGGACUGACACUGACACUGAGGUGCGAAAGCGUGGGUAGCAAACAGGAUUAGAUACCCGAGUAGUC
This 466-nucleotide ribosomal RNA is filed under the name Vreelandella stevensii. RNAcentral describes it as "partial 16S ribosomal RNA". It matches the Rfam family "Bacterial small subunit ribosomal RNA", at positions 338 to 795 of the family's 1533-position model. Lineage: Bacteria; Pseudomonadati; Pseudomonadota; Gammaproteobacteria; Oceanospirillales; Halomonadaceae. The record is from RNAcentral.